GUGAGGAAACAUUUCCUGAUAGCCUGAAUCUGGGUUGUUGAAAUUGGACUUGAUUAUUCCGUGUUCUGCAUUCUGGUAUCAGCGAGAAGAGAUCUUGACCUUCCUCUUUGUGACAGUCUUCAAGGUAUGUAUAGAGGGAUAACAUGUCCCCACUCAGUCUUCUCUUCUCAAGGUUGAACAUGCCCAGUUCUCUCAGUCUCUCUUCAUAGGGCAGCAUUAUCAAACCCUGCAUCAUUUUUGUUGCCCUCCUUUGGACACUUUCUAAUCUUAAAAAUGUGCACUGUUACUGAAAUCCUUCCAGCCACAACAUCCAGGGAAGUUCAGAAAGACUUCUUAUAUUUUAAUUCUUGCAAAUACUUUUUGCCAUUUUUAGAUUUUUUCUUCUUCUUUGUAUUUGUAAAUGCCAUGUAAAUUCUGAUUUCCUUAAAAUAACUUCACCACCCUGUACUUUGGGAGUUUCAUCACUGCCCACACCUAAUUGCUCUGGUGCACCUGUAGCAGUCUUAAUUAAUACUUCAGUUCACACAAAGCACAUCAGAGUCAUAAUUUGGUUGCGAAAUUGCCCUACCUUUAAACAAACGGUGUGAUUUGUCUAAUGGUGGAAAAAAUUAUAUCAAUGGGAUCCCCUCAAAUCCUUUACCUGAAAUGUGUCUGUUCCUUGGAAGCAACAGAACUAUCCUAUAUUUUUGUACUAGCUUUGGCUGUAGGAUGUUAUGGGGUUAAGUCAUUGUAUAUUUGUGCAUGCACACACAAGUGUGCUACUCAUUUUUGGCCAAAAGGCUAAUCGUUUAGAGGUGAAAAGUUAAUUAGAACUUAGAAGUCAAGAAGUUGUGCUUAGAGGGGAAGGAGAUUACAAAGUUCAACAUAAGAUCAGGGGUAGAGAGAGAACUGUCUUAACUCAGGGGACAGAAACUUAGGCCAGUACCACCAUGUCUGUGUGCCAGUUGGAACCAAUACAAGUGCUACAGCGAAAUCAUGGUUGUUAAAGUAGAAAUGCAUUAAGGUAAGUCAGCAGAGCUUCCUGUCCUGAUCUAGAAAUAAGAAUUUCUGCUUCUUUCUGUAGUUCCUUUAAGUUCCUGUUGGGCUGACAGUGGGAAUUGGAUACUACCAUUGGAUACUGCCCUUGGUCUGCAGAAAUGACCAGUAACUCCUAAUGGAAAGAAAACAGUACUGCUAGAAGAUAUAAGUAAACACAAAAGGACAGAGAAAGAAGAAGAAAGAAAUGAAGCCCAGAGUUUAGAGCAGAGAAAUUAUGUGAGCUGCUGGAACUGGAGAACCGGUUGAGAAAGCUGGACCAGUUACUGUAAUACAAUAAGAUAUUGCUUGGCUAAGGACUUGAACAAAACAGGGAUACAGACUAGUUAGAUUAGAUGGAUGGUUUUCCCAUCCAAAACUGGUGUGGACAAAACUUCAUGGAAUAAGCACAGAGAGUAAGUGUAACAUUUUCAACAGUGUGGUUAGUCAAUUACAGUUGUAUGUAGCUUACAGCAAAAAAGCAAUAUUUAUUAGCGCUUGAAGCCACCCACCUAGAAGCAAGCUGUGUGGGGGUAAUCCACAGGAGUGUAGUGUUCAGUUCCCCUUUCCAGAAACACUUUCUUCUCUUUAAACAGAAAUCCAAACUCUACUGUACUGGGUCAGAUUCACAUUAAGAGAGUUAUGUUCUGCUGUUUCUCCUGAACAUAUUAAAUUAAUUGAUCAAACUGAAUAAAUGCCAUGCUUAGGUUCUGUAUUAGCUACCAGGAUGCACAGACCAGGAAAGCUUCAGCCUUCUUCACUAUGGAGUACUGGACCAGUGCAAUCAGUUGGUGAGACACAACAUCAUAUUUCCUCUUGUCCAACUGAAUUUUCCCUUCCCUUGGGCAGCCAUGAGCUGAUUCUGGGGCAUGUGGUUAUCUGCAGGGAAAGAUAGAAUCCAUUCAGUUAAUGUCAGAAUGACAUGAUUGGAUGCAACCCAACAAGUGUGAAAAAGAGAUAGAAUGGAGCUGAAUGAGAAUGUAGGGGGUGUGCUGAUGAAGCUUUGCUUUUCCUUUGUCAUCUGUGUGUCUGAAUUUGUCCUUUUCCCCGACUAUUUUAUUUCAUAUGUUUCAUUUCAAACCUUAAGCUGUGGAACUAGAACUGUGGGGAGCAUAGAAAUCUUAAGCAUGUUAUGAAAAAUGACUGUUGUCAUUAUAUUUCAACAUUUUCAGUUCGAGAUUAAAUUGAAACCUUUUCAGUAUGAGAUUAUAUUUAAACAUUUUCAAUAAAUGAUUUUGAAGUCAUUCCUCUAAGUAUGUUUAUGACUGUGUUCUGAGCAAACUUUUUCAUAAGACUACAUUUUACUGAAAGGGACUGCAGCUCUCAAACAAAGCCGUGCAUAGAGAUAUAACUUUCUGAAAUAUUUUUAGACAUAAGAAAAAUGUGUCACCAUUUCUCUUUCAAAGGAAACUAUUUCAGACAAUGUGGCAGUUUGGAAAGCACGGUACUGUGUAAGACAAGACAUAUGGAAUUCCUCCCUGGUGUAAGAAUGCCAUUAAUAGCAAAAGGAUUAUUAGCAGAGGAAGUCAGAACUUUUGUCCACUUCUAUGCUGUGUUUCUUGCCAUCCCAUAAUAUUUCAGAUUAUUUGUCUCAUGAAGAGAUGAGCUGGGACCAAGGAACCACUCUGUCACAUUUGCCAUUUCUGCAUUCUGGGUUUCCACAUGCUUUAAACAUGCAUCUAAGCUAGGACCACACAGAUCAGACAGAAUACAGAGCCUUCUGUGAAGCUUUUGGAGUUGGCAUGAAACGUAAUCACUUCAUCCACUUGACCAAUAUGACCCCUACUGCUGUAGCAUUAGAACCCUGACCACAUGGAAACAAGCACCACAGCACAGUGGCUUUUAUGUAUCAGUCCAUGUAAAGUUCAAUUGGUGUGGGUGGAAUCAUAAAAUAAAAAUGAAAUAAAAAUACUAAUUAGCUCAUAUAGACAUAAAAGCAACUUUGCCACCAAGGACCUAAUAAACCAAAUUAUUUCCAA
Long non-coding RNA from Varanus komodoensis (Komodo dragon), 2993 nucleotides. RefSeq lists it as uncharacterized. Lineage: Eukaryota; Metazoa; Chordata; Lepidosauria; Squamata; Varanidae. The record is from RefSeq and is a predicted model, not a curated record. The transcript is spliced from 2 exons.